Molecule: ribosomal RNA, 467 nt
Filed under: uncultured bacterium
Lineage: Bacteria
Description: partial 16S ribosomal RNA
Rfam family: Bacterial small subunit ribosomal RNA
Source: RNAcentral
GACGAACGCUGGCGGCGUGCUUAACACAUGCAAGUCGAACGGAAAGGCCUCUUUCGGGGGGUACUCGAGUGGCGAACGGGUGAGUAACACGUGAGUAACCUGCCCUUGACUUUGGGAUAACUUCAGGAAACUGGGGCUAAUACCGGAUAGGAGCUCCUGCUGCAUGGUGGGGGUUGGAAAGUUUCGGCGGUUGGGGAUGGACUCGCGGCUUAUCAGCUUGUUGGUGGGGUAGUGGCUUACCAAGGCUUUGACGGGUAGCCGGCCUGAGAGGGUGACCGGCCACAUUGGGACUGAGAUACGGCCCAGACUCCUACGGGAGGCAGCAGUGGGGAAUAUUGCACAAUGGGUGGAAGCCUGAUGCAGCAACGCCGGGUGCGGGACGACGGCCUUCGGGUUGUAAACCGCUUUCGCUCAUGACGAAGCUUUGUGUGACGGUAGUGGGUAAAGAAGCACCGGCUAACUACGUG